AUGAUUUGACAGUGCAUCGGCAAAGCGCGGAUAGCUUAACCACAGUCGGGGGGAUAUGGAAAGGAGGAAAACAGAUGCGCUCAGAGGACUUGUCUGCGUGUGUUUAAUAAUAAUAAAGAAGCGCCUGAAGACAUCGACCAGACGUCUGCAGGGUAAAGCAGAGCUGAUUCCAAGGUGAAGUUGAUUCCAGCUCCCAUCUAGCAGGAGUAACAGAGGGCUCAGCACACCUGCAGACGGCGUUUGCGGAUCUCAAACAGCUUGACGGCCGGCGAUGUUUACCGGCCUUGAAUACGGGACGCGAGAGACGAGAGAGAGUGCGGACACUCUGAUGACCAAGCUGUUCCUCAGGGCUGGCAUAAUCUCCAAGCUGGCGCAGAACUGCAGAACUCCAGAAAUUCUCCGUACCCCCACGCCCCCCAUCCUCUGCCCAAACUACAGCAGCAGUCUUAAUUGUCAUAGAAUCAUUGGAGCCAGCAGCUCUGGUUAGACUCCCAUUCAGUGCCUCACUGUGUGGCUCCAUGGGUUAGGAGUCUGUAACUGGAAGCUCACCAGUUCAAAUCCCAUGGCCAGUGGAGUACUGAUAUCACAGCUGGGCCCUUGAGCGAGGUCCUUAACCUCCACGGUUGCUGGAUAAAUGGCCAACAUUCUCCUCUGACCCCAAGGUUUGCUCUUGCCUGCAUGUAUCUCAUAGGAGAGCUGGAUGGAAAUUGUGAAGAUUAUUAUGUUGUUGUACUUGGUACCUGGACAAUGAUAAUAAAGGCUUUCUAUCUGA
Molecule: long non-coding RNA, 772 nt
Organism: Paramormyrops kingsleyae
Lineage: Eukaryota; Metazoa; Chordata; Actinopteri; Osteoglossiformes; Mormyridae
Source: RefSeq, a predicted model, not a curated record